This 450-nucleotide ribosomal RNA is filed under the name uncultured bacterium. RNAcentral's name for it is "bacterial SSU rRNA". It matches the Rfam family "Bacterial small subunit ribosomal RNA", at positions 354 to 796 of the family's 1533-position model. The record is from RNAcentral.
GUGGGGAAUUUUGGACAAUGGGCGAAAGCCUGAUCCAGCCAUGCCGCGUGCAGGAUGAAGGCCUUCGGGUUGUAAACUGCUUUUGUACGGAACGAAAAGACUCCUUCUAAUAAAGGGGGUCCAUGACGGUACCGUAAGAAUAAGCACCGGCUAACUACGUGCCAGCAGCCGCGGUAAUACGUAGGGUGCAAGCGUUAAUCGGAAUUACUGGGCGUAAAGCGUGCGCAGGCGGUUAUAUAAGACAGAUGUGAAAUCCCCGGGCUCAACCUGGGAACUGCAUUUGUGACUGUAUAGCUAGAGUACGGCAGAGGGGGAUGGAAGUCCGCGUGUAGCAGUGAAAUGCGUAGAUAUGCGGAGGAACACCGAUGGCGAAGGCAAUCCCCUGGGCCUGUACUGACGCUCAUGCACGAAAGCGUGGGGAGCAAACAGGAUUAGAAACCCCGGUAGUCC